GUUAAAAUUAAAUUAGGGAACUGAUCACAGAUGUAUUGUCUCUGUGUGUUUUACAUCUAUUGUUGCUUUUAAUUUGCAGCUAUACUUUUAAUGAAGCUCAAUCCGUGUAUCAUUCGUUCAUUCGUUUUUCAAAAUAAAACCAAAUAUGAAAAAACAAAAUAAUGACUUGGUUUUUCAGUAUUUGUUCCAGAACCAAAAUGAAAAAACGGGCCGGAUUCGGGCCUUUCAUGCACUUUCAAUAUUUUCAUCUCCCUGGAAGCCAAGUUUUUUUCUUUUGCAAGCACUGGUUUCUUGUCGGACCGGUCGGAGUGACAACUACAUCCGGUUCAUGGAAGCUAACACUUUGGCUAACAACCGCUGCAUGUGGAGGCUGCAAAUUUGGAGAAAUUGUUCAAUAUGAGAACAAAAUGAAUGCAUCAAUGUUCUAUGGGAAGCGACCAGUCGAAAGUGACGACAGCUGUCUUGACAGCAGGGAUAGUGAUGAAGACUACACUCCUACACCACGUCGGCACUAUCCACGAAGCUACCAACACCACUAUUGCUGCCGGUUUCAUCACCUGGUCAGGAGUGUAGUCUGUACGCAGCAUGCACAGACCCCAUGCACUGAGGCCCCCCUGCCUCGCCGCAGUGGUCGCGGGCUCGAUCCCGGCCUGUGGCCCGUGUCAUUCCCCUAUUCUCUGUUUCCCCACUUCAUGCUGUCCUAAAGCAACAGGCCAACAGCAGUAAUAAUGCUAUAAUUUCGUGUAGAGUUUCAGCUUUUUGCGGUUUACACAUGGCCAUAGGUUUGUGAAUGUAACCAUGUGUACAAGAUGUGUAUAUAAUAUAAAAAUGUCUGCACUCUUAUACAGUGAUUUCUUUUUUCUACACCAGGUGAUGAAAGCAGCAGAAGCUAGUACUGACAACAGGAGCAGCAGUGAUGAAGACUCUGAUGGAAAUCACGAUGCUCUUCCUAGCACCAGUGUUCUAAGAGAAAAGCUUGAGCUCUGUUUCACAAAAGAUUAUAAUAGUUGGUGUUAUAGUCAGGACAUUGAAAAUAAUUGUGUGGCAUCAAUAAAAUCUACAUACCUGAGAUGGGAAAUGUGUUUUAAUAUUAUUAUUAUUUUUUUUUUUAUAUACCAUUGUUUUUUUCCCCAUUUAUUCCUGUUGUUGCUAAUUUGUAUCAUACCUAAAUGUAUGUCUAUUCUGUGUAUACAUCUAUAACAAUCUCCACUUACUUAUUGUUAUUAUUGGUUUACUUUUUAGUAGUAUUGUAUUAUCUGAGGAUGACUCAUUUUAGUAACUACAGUAAAAAAAAAAAAAAAGAAAAAA
This is a non-coding RNA of Epinephelus lanceolatus (giant grouper), 1308 nucleotides long. NCBI's taxonomy places the organism in Eukaryota, Metazoa, Chordata, Actinopteri, Perciformes, Serranidae. The record is from RefSeq and is a predicted model, not a curated record.